RNAcentral lists this ribosomal RNA (894 nucleotides) under uncultured bacterium. RNAcentral describes it as "bacterial SSU rRNA". It matches the Rfam family "Bacterial small subunit ribosomal RNA", at positions 505 to 1398 of the family's 1533-position model. The record is from RNAcentral.
GUGUCAGCCGCCGCGGUAAUACGGAGGGUGCAAGCAUUAAUCGGAUUUAUUGGGCGUAAAGGGCGUGUAGGCGGAACUGUAAGUCAGAUGUGAAAUCCCGGGGCUCAACCCCGGACCCGCAUUUGAAACUACAGAUCUUGAGGAUAGGUGGGGAGAACGGAAUUCCACAUGUAGCGGUGAAAUGCGUAGAUAUGUGGAGGAACACCAGUGGCGAAGGCGGUUCUCUAACUUACUCCUGACGCUGAGGCGCGAAAGCAAGGGGAGCGAACAGGAUUAGAUACCCUGGUAGUCCUUGCCGUAAACGAUGCAUACUUGGUGUAGCCGGUCUCAACCCCGGCUGUGCCGUAGCUAACGCGAUAAGUAUGCCGCCUGGGGAGUACACUCGCAAGGGUGAAACUCAAAAGAAUUGACGGGGGCCCGCACAAGCAGUGGAGCAUGUGGUUUAAUUCGAUGCAACGCGAAGAACCUUACCCAGACUUGACUUGCAGUGGACGGCUACAGAGAUGUAGCUUCCCUUCGGGGCCGCUGCGCAGGUGCUGCAUGGCUGUCGUCAGCUCGUGCCGUGAGGUGUUGGGUUAAGUCCCGCAACGAGCGCAACCCUUAUCUUCAGUUGCCAGCACAUAAUGGUGGGGACUCUGGAGAGACUGCCUGGGUGAACCAGGAGGAAGGUGAGGAUGACGUCAAGUCAGCAUGGCCCUUAUGUCUGGGGCGACACACGUGCUACAAUGGCCGGUACAGAAGGCAGCAAUACCGCGAGGUGGAGCAAAUCCUUAAAGCCGGUCUCAGUUCGGAUUGGAGUCUGCAACUCGACUCCAUGAAGUCGGAAUUGCUAGUAAUGGCGCGUCAGCCAUAGCGCCGUGAAUACGUUCCCGGGCCUUGCACACACCGCCCGUC